UAUUUAUUUUGUCAUACUUAGAAAUAUUUUAUUCAUUUAUAUAAAAUAUCUAAAGAAAUCAUCCAGAAGAGGGGUUAGCUGACUGACAUUGGGUGAUAAAAUUUGUUCUUCAUGAGUUUCAUGAUGUGCUAUGUUGGCUGUUUACAUGGUCUAUUGCCUGCUACUAAAAACUAUUACCUAUAUACAUGAAUUUGCAGGGCAGUAUUUAAAGCAAAAAAAAGUGUGGCUACAUUUGCAAGAGAAAUGUAUUACAUGAUUAUAUAUCAAUAGAUUGAUACAGAAGUAGGGAUAUUACACAUUAGUAUUUGAUAUAUAACACAGAUUUAUAGAGAAAUGUAGUUCUCAAUCACAUGCUUUUAUGGAAAACCUGUCCUACUAAAUCACCAUCUUGGCUCACUCCGUACACCUGACCCCUCUAUUUCCAGUCUCAUCUAGCUUAACAAAACUGAGCAUACAUCGUUAGUUUGAAAAUGUUCUGGCUUACAUUUUAACACAGAAUACUUUGAAAGUAUUUAAUAUUUCUCAAGAUUUAGAAAGCUCUUUUUUCUUGUUUAUUUUUUCGCUUGAAAGAAGAAACUUUAAUUAUAUUUCCUCUGAAUCAACAGGACUUUUCAGCAUUUUUGCAGAAACACGGUCCUAAAUUUUGAAAUAGGAAUCUUAACAGUGUACUGCCAUAUUAUUAUUCUAAAAUUAGAAAAUCCUACUUUUGAAGCCAGGAGAACAAAUUAGCCCACUGACCAUUUUUGGUUGCUUGUUUUUUCUAAAGCUUGACAAGUGUGUUUAUGUGUGAUUUUAGACUUUUUCUGUAGUUCUGCUCCAAUUCUGCCCAAUUACCUACAGAGAAGUACUACUGAAUCACUUUUAUUGAGUCCAGCUGCUUACAAUAUCAGAUGGCUCUAUCCCCUCUUCCUGUAGCUGUUCUUCCCCUAAUGGAGUUUCCCAAAACUUACCAAAAACAAGGCACUACAAAAUCUCCCCUUAACGUUCCUCAGCCUCUCAUCUCUCCUGUUUUUGUGCUCCACUGAUAGAAAAUAUUCUUAAUUAUCUUCUGUGUUUUAUAAUAUUUUCUUACAUCUUAAUCCAUGUGCAAAUGAAUAAUACUCUUCAACACAAUUUAGCAAUUUAGCAACUUCUACCUUUAGGCAUGUAUUAAGGUUAUUUUUGUAUUAAUAACUUAUCAUUUUUCAAAAUGGAGAAUGGCACCACCAGCAGAGAGCACACUGGAACCUCAGAACAAAAGAAAACAGAAAAUCAAUAACAUAUUUUAACAAUGUCUGCCUGAAACACAUAAAAAAUACUUCUGAAAUACAUCAGUAAUGUGUAUGUUGAGAGAUUUUGUAAUUUAAAUUAAUACCACUUAAAAAAACCAAACCACUUAAGUUACCUAUUGUUUAUUCCAUUUCAGAUUGUACUCAAUUUUCUAAUUCAAAUAAACAACACAAAAAAAAAUCAACCUUACUACCCAAACCAAAACCUAAAUGCAUUUUUAUUUGGGAUGCAUGGUUAGACAAAAGCUUUAACAAAUUACAUGAUGCAUUUUAGAAGACAGAUUGUGUUCAUUUGCUGAACUUAGAGAAACCUUUGGGUUGACAGAUAAUCAAUUCAAAUACCUACAGCUGAGGGAUUGUAUUACUAAUUCCUUUUACAAGCCUUCCCUUUUGGAUACAGGCAAAUAAACGUGUUUUCAUUGCCAAGGAAUUGACCACACCAGCAGAUACAGCCUUUCAGGUAUGGUUGCUGUCUUGCAAUCCAGCCUAUGAACAUCUGCCAAGUGCUUCCUCCACUCCUUCUCCAUUCAAACUGGUGUUAAGCUCAACAUGAAUAUGUGGACCUUGCCCCUUUAUCUGACAUCUGCCAUCAAGCAUGAGAGUACAGGCUUUUUUGGGCUAGGACAUCAACUUCUGUUUCUUUGAAUCUACUUAGGAAGUGUUUCAACAUGCAUGGGACUGCCAUCAAAUGCUAAGCUUUACAGUCAACUCCUAGUUGGCCGUUAACCAAAACAGUCAGUCUAAAACAUGGAAGUAUAACUAUCAAGUAUUAGGGUUGUAUUUCAUAGGCUUUGCUCAAACAUCAGCAGUACUAUUCCUUGGGUAUGAUAGUUGAACCGUUUGGACACUGUGUCUGUAUUUUUGCCUGUAUUUCAUAUAAACUAAUUGUUUGUUCUUAAACAGGCUAUCAGAAAUCUUUCCUUCAGCCCACUGUCAUUAAACCCCCCUCAAUAAUACACAACCUAGCUCAUUGCAUAAAUGGCAGUGUGUACGCAAUGUAGCCUCUAUGACACAAUAAAGUAUAUAAUGGGGAGUAGUUCAGUUACACUGCACAAGACAGGAGAAUUAUAAUCUGAUAUAAUUAAUAGGUGCAUGUUUUUCACCAGGGACAGAGAUCAAAAUACUCAAUUUGCCAGAUUUAAACUACUAAUGUUGCCAAGACACAUAUUCUAGGAAAGAGGGGCCACAAAGUAUUAAGGCUUCACUCCCUUGAUCCAAAAACUCUGUGCCCUUUUUAUAACCUUGGACUGAGAUCAUGCAUUAUUUUUUUUUAUUCCAAACUUGCCUUCUUUUAGAAAGAGCCCUUAAAGGCUUAUGAUCUUAUUCAAGAUCCAGAAGAACAGGAGGAACAGUUCCUUAUUUAGUAUAAUCUGAGACUGGCAAAAUUUAAUAGGGAGUAGGAAAUCAUCAAAGGACAUGUUCUGGGGAAGGUUUGAUAUGUGUAUGUCGUUAAUGUUUGGUUAACAUUCUUGCAAAAUAAAAAGCAAACAAAAAAAUGGAGAUGAGCAUUUCCUGGAUCUGAAUAACAUGUCAAUGCAAUGCCCAUGAAUGGAAUGGAUAGCUUUGGAUUUUCAUUUCAAACUUUGCAGUUUGUAGCUGAGUUUAUGAACUUAAAUAACACCCUAGUGAAAUUUCUUACAUCAUUUUAAAGUCUGCAUUCAAUUCCAUGAUCUCAGCUCCUUGCAUUAAACACUGUGUUGUUUGGUUGUUUUACAGACAAAAAAGUGGGGAUCAUCCCUUAAACUGCUUUAUAAAGAGAGGCACACAGUAGUCUCACAGGAACAUUAGAGCUACUAUUUCUUACUAGAGUUACCAUUUCUUAUGGCUCCAAAAGAAGUUCUACAUGUUAAAGACUUGGAGGAGAAGAUUCAAAGCCAGAAGAAAUGUUUCAGAAAUAGCUGGGGGUAGUGUGCAAGAAUAAGGAGCCUUCUGCAGCCAGGAGAAAUCCCUGCAGCAGGGUUGAACAGCAAUAGCAGACUAUGGAGACUGCAAUGUUAUUUCUGUCUCUCCACCAAGCUGGUUAGACACCUAACAAAGCAAUUCCAGUGGUGGAACCAAGGAUCUACUCAAGCUCCUGGUAGAAAUGGAGCACCUCCUGCCCCUGGAUGCAGCAUUGAAACCACGGGCACACCAUGCUGCCUUCCUGACCACUCCUCCCCUCUCGCUGCAGCAGCAAGUUUUGCUCACUGAUCACCCUAUAUGCAAGCUUUUAGGAAGAAUUUUGUUCUUCUAGCAUGCAAUUGAAGAAGAAUCAAAAAACCUUUACAAAGACACUGCAAUGACUUUUUGAAGGUAAGGCAGCUGAAAAAAGAGCCGUGGAAACAGGUUACAUUUUAUCAGUGAAAAAAAGGGAAAGAACCCUCCAGCUGGAAGAUGAUAAGUAAUAAAAUGCUCACUGUAGAGCUGUAAGCAUUUGAGAACCUCUAAGAGCCAGCUACAGAGAGGCUUUCUGGAAAAAGUCCCAUGAGAGUUCUUCAAAUGCAGAUUGAAUAUGAGCCUGAGGACAGGGAGAUGGUCAGCUGCCUCUGAAAAGCCAGGAAAAGCUGUUAAGAUGAACUAGGAGCUGGAUUCUGAGAAGGCCUGGUUUCAUGAUGAAAGGAAGGCUUCAACUGCCAGCAGUCCAAAAGUCUGACUUACAGGAAAACACACAUUUGAAUUUCUCUCCACCAGUCAAGUUUUUGCUCUUGAAAUAAGGGCCACCUGAUGCUGUCGAGAAAGACUCCUGAAGGAGACCCCCAGGAAAUGGCCUCAGCCCAAAUUCAGCACUAAACUGCUCCAUCUCACCUGACUAAGUGGCCAGUCACUGGGGAUGUUGCCCUGUGGCUUCAGCAGCAGGGCUCUGCUGUUUCAUGUCAGAGACACCAGCCAGGAAAUGGGGUGGGAGCGAGGAGAUCGGGAAAUAGGCAGAGGAGAACAUGGAGGCACGGAACACAGACCCAUAGAAAAUGAGGCUUUGCUAGCUCUGCUGUUGUUGGAACAGCGUGUUGCUCAUCUACUUAGGCUAUUGCGCCAUCAGAGGUGUAUGGGGAAAGAAAUCAGGUAAGAUAAUUUUUAUUCACUGUGCCAUACUUACCUGUUUUCCUAUUAUUCUUUUGUUUGUUGUAGUUUUUUACCAGUUUGUCUGAUACUGUAUUAAAUAUAUUCCUCUGUACCUCCCAAGAUCAUCCUUGGACUUCUUUGAAAUAAACAUGAUCCCACGUCAGCAAAGACAUUUCCUGUCUCAGUUGGAACCAGAUGUCUCUCAGUUGUUUUUAUACUUAAGGAGGAUUUAAGUGAAUGUAUUGAGAACUGUUAUUGUUUUAAAUACAAUGCUCUUUAACAACUAGAAUUUUGCAAUAAAUGCAGCAGAAACAGAUCCAUAAAAUAACAAAAAUAUGUUUGUGUGACAAGUCAGGAAAAGCAGUAAAAUUUUGUGUACUUCCUAUGCAUAUGUGUAAUUGCAAAACACAUCAUGAUGCAGGGGACCUAUCUGUAUGUUGCUCAUAAGAGGUCUUGUAGAGGAGAAACUUAAUAAAAUAGUUAAACUAAA
Non-coding RNA from Cyanistes caeruleus (blue tit), 4797 nucleotides. The record is from RefSeq and is a predicted model, not a curated record. Lineage: Eukaryota; Metazoa; Chordata; Aves; Passeriformes; Paridae.